RNAcentral lists this long non-coding RNA (233 nucleotides) under Trifolium pratense (red clover). RNAcentral describes it as "long non-coding RNA (TPRA_LNC004515)". The record is from RNAcentral. Lineage: Eukaryota; Viridiplantae; Streptophyta; Magnoliopsida; Fabales; Fabaceae.
GAGAAGUUCCAACAGGACCUGACCCUCUUCAUCAUAACAACAACCCUUUUGAACCAUGAGUGUUUCAUUUUCAUGAAAUUAUUAGCACUAUAACUAUUUAAUUUUCCUAUAGUACAUUUUGAUUUAUGGUUCAAUAUUAUUAUAUCAUGUAGUAUUAUUCAGUACUUAAGAUUUUGUAAUUUAUAUAUGAGCUUUUACAUUUGGGAUAUAUAUAUAUAUUUUUUUUUAAUGCA